Molecule: non-coding RNA, 156 nt
Organism: Streptomyces decoyicus
Lineage: Bacteria; Bacillati; Actinomycetota; Actinomycetes; Kitasatosporales; Streptomycetaceae
Source: Rfam
GGGCAGUCAUCGCCGAGUCCCCGUACGGCGCGAGCCAGGGGAGCCGGGGACCCAGUGUCCCUUGGGGUGAAUCGGACUCCCCUCCGGAGGAGUCCGUAGGAGACCUUCCUGCUCCGAACCCGUCAGCUAACCCGGUAGGCGAGAAGGAAGGAAAGG